Hordeum vulgare subsp. vulgare (domesticated barley) is the source of this 2323-nucleotide long non-coding RNA. RefSeq lists it as uncharacterized. Lineage: Eukaryota; Viridiplantae; Streptophyta; Magnoliopsida; Poales; Poaceae. The record is from RefSeq and is a predicted model, not a curated record. The transcript is spliced from 7 exons.
UCCCCUCCCUCCUCCUCGUCCGGAGAGCCGCCAGCCACCGCAAUGCUUCCCCCCUUCCUCCUACUUCCCUCAUCUCCACUGCCGUCGGUCCUACCCCCAAUCCACAGCCGCCGCCUCCCUUCGUUCCGGACCGGGGAGUAAUAUGGCGGGCGGCAGAGCACGGGGUCGAUGGCAGCGGCUGGACGAGGUCGUCGACAAGCGAGGUACGGCCACCAAGCUUGUUCCUCCGACCACCGCACUGGAGCCCCGGCGGCUGAGCCUGCAGUGGCACCGGGAGCAUGGCGGCGACCGGGGAUGCUGGACAGUAGGGGCUCGCUGUGGUGGUCCAUACCUAGGAAGAGGGCGACAUCUUCCAGCCAAGGUUCGGAAUAGACGGAAGGCGAUAGGUAUCGUCAGAGAAAGCUGUGAAACUGUAUUGCGAAAGAUGUGUGCAACUCAUAAACUUAGGAAGCAUGAAGAGUGGUAUAAUAAAAUUGCGGUCGUUGGAAAUGGGGUUGAGUUGACCUUAUGCGCGCUUCGCCGUGUCGGGAUCAGGUGCAUUGUAUCAUCAGCUUUGAAAUGAUGUGGUGUGAUGAGCGUACUAAAUAUUUAUGGUUUGCCUCAAAUGAUGCAUGUGUAUGGUAGUCCAAUUCUGUUUUGAAGUAUAUAACUAUAUAUUGGCAUUAUGUUGAAAACCGACCUGACAAAUGAAGUUCUAUUUUCUGUCUUGGUGCUCUUAGAACCAGCCCAUUAUUUGGACAUCUACCAUGGUCAUCAAAGAACCUCAUAAUCGUUACUCAGAUGAUUGUGUGAUUUCAUUUUACUACAUGCUAUUGUAUUGAUCUUGUUCGUGGAGGUGAGGGUUCCUAAGCAAAACUUGCUGGAGUGCCAUGGCCGGCGGUGAGCGCCGGUGGGUGUAGCAGCCUGCACAGGCGGCGUGAGUAGCGGCCAAGACGAUGGGCGCGACAGGGGGGAAAGGAGGUCGACGAGGAGGGCAGACAGCAGGGGGAAGGGGCACGAAGUAGGGGAAAGAAUUGGGCGAGCCAGACCAGUGACGGAAGGAGCAGGGUGAGGCCUCACACACUGAGCAGGGUGAGGCCUCACACACUGGCUCGUUAUGUGCUUCACCAUUGCUUGCAACUGAAGAAGAUAGAGGCGAGAAGCUCAUGGACGCCGUCCCAGGUCGCGACAACUUCCAUGCCGGCGGCUGGCAAAACAUCAGCAACAUCAUCCAUGGACAACAUGAACAGAGAUGCUCCUGGCCUUCCCUUGUUUUUCCCACCCACUAGGCUGUGGAGCUUUGGAAGAGCCAAAAUAGACAUAUGAUGGUGCUAGGAGGGUGAGAAUCUGAAGAUCUUACCCUUUGCAAGACGAAUUCUAGGGAGGCGGAGAUAAUAAAGGGCAACACCGGUGAGCCACAAGCCAUGUCAAGGACUACACCAGUAGGAAUUUGCAGCAGGCCUGAUACCUUGCUCGUGCUCUCCGCUUGUCCUCACUCCCUAGACCUUUCCUUUGCUUGUCGUCAUACAUUUAUUCGGAGUGGUGUCAAGACGCAUCUCCUUUGCCUAGAUGGCAGGCAGAGGGCCUAAGUAAGCUCUAGUUUCUACAGCCUUCAAAGCUGCUGCUCCAUUGUUCUAUUGGUCAAUGAGCAAAAUGCUUUUGACAAGAAGCAGCGUGUCACUUGCAUGAAGCACGAAGCACUACAUCAAGAACUUCACUGGCAAGCCUGAAAGGGAGAAGCUAAAUGAUUUAAGAGGAACAUUGAGUCUGCCACAAAGUUUCAUCGUAGCCAGCUCAAGAACCUUCAGUUGUAAGUUCUCUGUUUGCCUUGGUGAUCAUUGGUAUCUGUUGAGACACCUUAGUACUUCAUUCUUCCUUUGGUAUUCCAGAUGCUCGUAUUUGCUCUAUAAAACUUAAAUCGCUUAUGAAUUUUUCUAUAGGCCUUACUUUCUUUGGGAAUGCGGUACUAAUAUAUUACAUUCAACUUAAGUUCUAAAGCCGUGUUGAUAUGUUUUGGCUUUGUGGGCGAGAGCAUGCAUGAUGAUGACAGCUUGGUGUUCGCCUACUACAAGGAGCCAUCCAGCUAACUUUUUUGUACUUCGCAAGAUUCUGAAAGAAGAGAGCUCAUUGAUAUUAUAUUUCCUUAGUUCUCAUCAAAUCAGUGUGUGUCAAACUGAAGUAUUUGUUGCUUAUAUAAUUUUGUGGUUAUAAAUGUGCAUCUGAAUUUAUCAUUGCCAUAGUAUGUGCUCUUCGGAGAAAGAAAAGAAAAUGUAUAGCUACGGAAAUGUUUGUGAAAACCUUUUUCCUUAGCUUAUGAAGAUUUUGGCUUGUGAUUUUGGUUUCA